UAAACUUUAAAUGGUUGUACAAGGGGGCUACAAAUUAAAUUAAACAUGUCCAUUUAUGGUUCCAGUGCUUCCUGAUUAGAGUCAUCCCCCAUUCUAACUGUCCUUUCCUCCAGACUCAUUUUGCCUUUCCCACUGUCUAUACCAUAUAUCAUUGAAUAUUCUGAUUUUUCAUUCAUCUGUUCCCCUGCUGUUGGCCCUCCCCCAUUCAAGCGUGUUUCAGAUUUCUGAUACUCACUUUUUAAAACUGUUAACUGUUAAAAAGAUUUGCCACAUGGAUUUCCACUCUGACAUGCAGAGACAGUGCUUCAGUCUCAGUAGAGUUUUAUAUCUUCUUUUACAGCCAAUAUGUCUGUUUCUUCUUUUUAUUACAUCAUUAACCUGUUUAGGAAUUCAAAUACAAUGUUAAGUAAGAGUAGUGAGGGUGGUGAUCCUUGUUUUGCUUUCAGCCUUAGGGAGAAACACCACUACACUAUUAUGUCAACAAUAGGUUUGAGGUAGAAAAAUGCUCACGUUGAGGAACUUGCUUUUUUGCUAUCCACUAAGCCUGGUGUAUGGCUAACACCCUGAUUAUCUUUGAUCUCUAAUAUACUGGAAAUUCUUUUUGCCUCUCUUAGGUUACAAUCUCAAUUUCUUGUGUCAUGGUUUUUUUUUUUUUCCUUUCUUUGUUUUCUUCUUCAUCUUAAUGAAGGACAUCAUCCACUAUCUUCUUAAGAACAAAACGUUAGCAUUGAUUGUGGUUUUUAACUCUGAUUUUGAAAUUGGAAUUGUGAAUAUUCUUUUAAGUAGGUGGCCAGAGUAGAAGCAAGAAGAUUAAUUAUUAGAUCACUGCAGAAGUCAAGAUAAUAUUUAUUGGUGGGUUGGGCUAGAAUGGUAGUUGGAAAAAAGGAGAGACAUCGAAAAGGCAAGGUGCUUUUUAUGUGUAAGUUUAUGAGAUUUAGAGGUGAGCUAAUUGUGGAAGAUUAAGGAAAGAGAGAAGCCAAAGGGAAUUCUGAGUGUUCUCUUGAAAUGAGUAGGUGAACAAGUGGUUCACUAAAGAAGACUAGUGACAAGAGCCAUUUCCACAUUAAACAAAUAAAAUUUAAUAUGCCUACUGCUGAGCUAUAGGUUUGUUUUCUUAGCUACUCAUUGUCUCUUUAGACUUUGUUAUUUUUCAGUGGUCAUUCAAAACCACUUGAUGUUUUGACUUUAUCCCUCUCUACCUCUCCAACUGCUGCCACCCAUCAAGCUUAUUUGUUAAAAACUGUGUAUCCAUCCUCAUUCCCUGACAUUAUCAUGUACAACUUUGGGACCUGCAGUAUGUAGCAGUGAUAGUAUGAUACAAUGGUUUUGAAUUCUGGUUCCUCUGCUUCCUAACUAUGUAAUGUUAAGAACAGUGUUUCACCUUUUGUGUCUCAUUUUCCUCAUGUAUAGAAUGGGGAUAAUACUAUCUGUAUAUUUGCAGACUAGAUAAGAAAAUGAUGUAUUAAAGCUGUAAGACUGCUAAAAGUUAUU
Molecule: long non-coding RNA, 1491 nt
Organism: Perognathus longimembris pacificus (Pacific pocket mouse)
Lineage: Eukaryota; Metazoa; Chordata; Mammalia; Rodentia; Heteromyidae
Exons: 4
Source: RefSeq, a predicted model, not a curated record